AUUGAACGCUGGCGGCAUGCCUUACACAUGCAAGUCGAACGGUAACAGGUCUUCGGAUGCUGACGAGUGGAGAACGGGUGAGUAAUACAUCGGAACGUGCCCGAUCGUGGGGGAAAACGGAGCGAAAGCUUUGCUAAUACCGCAUACGAUCUACGGAUGAAAGGAGGGGACCGCAAGGCCUUGCGCAGACGGAGCGGCCGAUGGCAGAUUAGGUAGUUGGUGGGAUAAAAGCUUACCAAGACGACGAUCUGUAGCUGGUCUGAGAGGACGACCAGCCACACUGGGACUGAGACACGGCCCAGACUCCUACGGGAGGCAGCAGUGGGGAAUUUUGGACAAUGGGCGAAAGCCUGAUCCAGCCAUGCCGCGUGCAGGAUGAAGGCCUUCGGGUUGUAAACUGCUUUUGUACGGAACGAAAAGACUCUUUCUAAUAAAGAGGGUCCAUGACGGUACCGUAAGAAUAAGCACCGGCUAACUACGUG
RNAcentral lists this ribosomal RNA (482 nucleotides) under uncultured bacterium. Its description in RNAcentral is "partial 16S ribosomal RNA". It matches the Rfam family "Bacterial small subunit ribosomal RNA", at positions 30 to 507 of the family's 1533-position model. The record is from RNAcentral.